RNAcentral lists this ribosomal RNA (450 nucleotides) under uncultured bacterium. RNAcentral's name for it is "bacterial SSU rRNA". It matches the Rfam family "Bacterial small subunit ribosomal RNA", at positions 29 to 524 of the family's 1533-position model. The record is from RNAcentral.
AACGAACGCUGGCGGCAUGCCUAACACAUGCAAGUCGAACGAAGCCUUCGGGCUUAGUGGCGCACGGGUGCGUAACGCGUGGGAACCUGCCCCUUGGUUCGGAAUAACAGUUAGAAAUGACUGCUAAUACCGGAUGAUGACGAAAGUCCAAAGAUUUAUCGCCGAGGGAUGGGCCCGCGUAGGAUUAGCUAGUUGGUGAGGUAAUGGCUCACCAAGGCGACGAUCCUUAGCUGGUCUGAGAGGAUGAUCAGCCACACUGGGACUGAGACACGGCCCAGACUCCUACGGGAGGCAGCAGUGGGGAAUAUUGGACAAUGGGCGAAAGCCUGAUCCAGCAAUGCCGCGUGAGUGAUGAAGGCCUAGGGUUGUAAAGCUCUUUUACCAGGGAUGAUAAUGACAGUACCUGGAGAAUAAGCUCCGGCUAAACUCCGUGCCAGCAGCCGCGGUAAU